Molecule: non-coding RNA, 9653 nt
Organism: Chelonoidis abingdonii (Abingdon island giant tortoise)
Lineage: Eukaryota; Metazoa; Chordata; Testudines; Testudinidae
Source: RefSeq, a predicted model, not a curated record
CGGGGCUGCGCGUGGAUGGAGUCGCGCGGCAGCGGCGGCGCUAGGGCCGGUGCUGGGGACUCGGCGCCGCUGGGACCAUGAUGCCCGGAGAGGCGCCGGCGGCGGGGAUCGCGGCGGAGGCCGCCACGGCCUGUGCGAACUGCAGCGCGCUCCAGCAGAAUUUAAAUGAAUAUGUAGCUGCAUUAAUUGCACUGAAGCAAAAAAUAAUUGACACAGACUGUUUGCUGACAGAAUAUCAACAGAAGUGUAACGAGCUUCAGGUGGCUGAAAGAGAGAAUAACACUCUUCGUCACCAAGUGGAACAGAUGCUACAAAAAAUCUCUCCUCUAGAAAAGUGUCAGCAAGAACUGGGGACUCUGAAAGCAGAAUUGGAAGAGAAAAAGAGUUCUCUCAAGAUUUAUCAGCAGACGCAUCUGGAAUAUGCUCGGGUGAAAGAAGAAAUUGCUAGAAGUGAUUCUGUGAAGAAGAAACUGGAAGCCAAAGUGAAGAAACUGGAAGAGGCUGCAACAAAGCAUAUGCAAGACUUCAGACAGUUGAAGACUGAAAAAAAAGUUCUUGAAAAGGAGCUAAAGAAGGCGCAGGGAAAACGUGAUGACUUUCCCAAAGAGAAAUGCAGAAAGGUGUUAAAACAUGCAGAGACACAGAGUGCAAGAGAAGAUCCAGUUGCAAACAUAGACAAAGGAAAAAUAAAGCUGCUAUUGGAGGAGCUUUGGAUGUGCAUUGACAGCACAACAGGAAAAACGCAGAACCAGGAACAUGAUUAUAUCUUGGGAUCUUCUGUUCAGGGUCACUCAAGGAUGCCAGAAAAAAGAGGCAGGUUAUUUACAGAAGAGGUUGCACAAACCCACCGAAAAUUCAAGAAAUCUGAUGACAAAAUGCUUCACCCUCAUUCUUCACCAGAAACCACUGAAAAACAAAGUUCCUUAACAACAUUGCAGAUAAAAGUAGACAAGGAGCCUUCUGGAGGUGAUCAAUUUGAGAGCAAGGCCACUGAAGAAGGCCUGCAGGACUAUAAUGGUGACAGUGCUUUUUAUGAGGACACAAAUAUAGAGGUGGUUGUACAGACAGACUUAACGGACAGUAGCUCAGAGUCCUCUGAUCAGGAACAAGAACAGCUUGGUGGAAACUUGCUUGAUAUAUUGAACUGGGCAAGGCCUCUCCCUCCUCUUCUAUCUCCUGUAUGUUUUUCACCAAUUGCUACACAGGAUAAUCUGUUUGGAGAAUCCACUGAUUCCAGUGAUGAAGAAAUUGAUCAUAAUGCUCACAUUGUGGAAAGUAUAUUAGAAGAAGGCAAAGCAGAGUCACAGAGUAACACUGCCUUUUUCAAUAUGAAAGAAAGCAAUGAAGAUGAGAAAUCACAUGAACCUCAUGAUAAAGAAAUCUCAGCUAAAUUGAGAGAGAAUGAAGAGAUGCCAAUUUAUAUAGACGCUUUCACAGCAAAAUUAAGACAUGUUAAGGAGAAGGAUGCCGAAGCAAAGCAAACUGAGAUGACUGUUUCAAGUAUGAACACGUUUGCCAAUGAAGAACAUUUGGAAGAGGAUUCUGAUAAUAUAGGACCUACAGAGACAGACAUAACACUGAAGGUAGCAACACCUAAACUGGAAGCUAUCAGUGAGAAGGAAGUUCAUACUGACGAAAUACAAAUUGAAGAUAAAACCUCUUCAGCUGUGUCAUCUAACUUCCAAUACUUGCAAGAAAAAUCUAAUGAACUAAUACAAACAGAGAAGACUGUAGUUAUAAAUUUAAAUACUACAUCCAAUUCUGAACAUAUGAAAGAAAGGUAUAGUGAAUUAAUGGAAGCAGAGGAAGCUGAAUUAUCAGGAAAAGUAGAAACACCAAAACCAGCAUCCACUCUCAGAGGUGAUGUUCACUUGCAAACUGGGGAACCCAUCUUUGCAACUGAAAGUGUGUUGGUAACCCCUGAGAAUUUUGAGGAAAAGCCUAGCGAAGUGAUGGGGAAUGAAGAAAUGGAAAAUGAAUCCAUGGACAUACAAACAAAAUCUAAUGUAAUAAAUACAAUACCCUGCAUAGAAGAGCACACUGAAAAAGUAACCACAGAGGAGAGAAUAAUGGCUACAAUAACCGUAAAAGGAUUCUGUGUAGAGACAAGUAAUGAACCAAAUGAUAAUGAAGAGGAAGAUGUGAGAUCUAGUUUCAGAAAUUCUAAAUGCUUUUCUGGAGCAGAGCAUGGUUGUGAAUUGAUGUGUCACUGUAAUGGUGAGAGAACACUCCUGCAAACUGAAAUAGACACUGAAGCUAAAGAUAUCUCCACUAAAUCACAAUGCUCUGAAGAAAAAAUCAGCAAUGAAGAAAUACUGGAUAAAGAGUUUGAGCAUACAAAACAACAUGGAGUAAAUGAAGAGGGUGGACUAGAAAACAAUAAUGCUUUUAGACAUGACUCAUUUAUACUUGCCACUGAAAGAAGCAGAGAUUCAUUAUAUAUGGAUGGGGAAGACCAUAUUGCAGAGGCAUGCAGAAGUGUUCGCUCAGUAUCUGCAGAAGAUGGAGAUGGGGAACAGCUCAGAACUGGAAAGCAGAGUGUUGAGGUCAAUAUAACUCAGCCUGAACAAAAUGUUUUCACUGAUAGUUCAGUAAACAAGGAAGAUUUUCUAGAAACAUAUAAAUUUGCUAAAUCGCUCCAUGUUAUGGAAGUUGGAGAACUACAAGAUGCAAAGAAGGAAAGGUGUCUACAACCUAAACUAGACCAUGAACAAAAAGAUGCUAAUAACAUAUUGCAAAAGAAACCAGAUUUUGAAACUACACUUAUGUCACAAAACUCAGCAUCUGGUAUAAAUGGAGAAAGUGAUCCACUAGAACCCGAAGAAAUAGUUCAAACUAAUCAUGUAUUACUUGCAUCAGAGUGUGUCACAGAAAGAGCUAGUGAAAUGAGGCAGGCCAAAAAUACAUACAUUGCAUCGGAACAGAAGUCUUCCAAAUUUCAAAAUUUUGUAAAAGUAUUUCAACCUCAGGAGAUUGAAAUGGAAAUGGAACACUCGGAAGUUGGAGAGAGAAGCGGUGGGUCAUUAGAAACUGAGAAAAUAGAUACUGUGAACUCUGUCAUAAAAGAAAGUGAACACCUUUCUUGGGCACAGUUUCUGAAACCUCUAGAUUCAUGUUCAGUAACUGAAAAUUCUCAGUGUGAGGAAAUAAAAGAGAAAUUAAAUGACAAACCGUGUGAGAGCCUGGUGAUUCAGAACUGUAACAGUUCACCUGGUUUGGAAGAGAAUAGUGUGGAGGAAGUGGAGGUGAGAAACCAAAUUUCAGAUGUCUCAGAUCAGGUUUUCUCAGAAAAGGAUUCUGUUGGAAAACCAGCUUUACCCAUAGAAGAUGUCUUGCAGACUGGAAGUAUAGAUACUAAAAAAAUAAACUCACCUGUCACAGCGACAAUUGGUUUGGAGAGCACAGCAGUGUUAGUUGAUUUUACUGCUUUCAACUUUCAGAUGUGUGGUGAACCUUUCAAACAGAACUGCCAAGCGUUUGACACUAAUAAUAAAGAAGAGUCUAUUACAGUGCUUAGUACUGCUUCAUCCCUAACUAGAAGAAAUGAAAAAUACAAUGAUCAUGUUAUUCAAAGUAUGCCUAAUUCUGUCAGAAAUUUGGUGAAGGGCAAGACAAUACAGAAUGAUAAAGAAAAAGUCAAGCCACUUGAUUGUCCCAGUAAUAAAUAUGACAAUAAAAAUAGAGCAGAAAUUGAAAAUGAACAGGAGCAGUCCAAUGCCAUAGAACCACAAAAAACAUUGAUAAAUGUACAGCUUUUUGGUACAAGUUCUGUUGACAGUGGUACACAUGUGGAAAAGGAAGCUAGUCUGGUUUUUGAAGAAGCGGAAUGUGAAACAUGUAGCUCGAAGGAAAUUAGCACAGCUCUUUCUGUAAUAAAAGAAACUUCACCUCAGAGAGUGGAGCCUCUUUGCUCUUCUGAAGGUCAGGUCAGACCUAUAGAAUAUAGGCUCGAUGAAACAAUGAAGAACAAUGAGAAAGAAUUGAACAUUGUUAAGCUGUCUGGAGAGACAAAUGGGAAUACAUCUUCUAAAAGUACUGAGGUUCCAGAGGAGACAGAUGACUCUGAAGAGGAAGAGUUUCCUUUCAGAAAGGUCAAGUAUACAAAAGAGAAUGAACGUUUUUUAGUGUCCAGUGAAAAACUAAGAACUUUCUGGACUUAUACAAUGGAUGUGCCAGAAAUUCACACAGCUGUUGAUGGAAAUAAUGACAAAAUGUGUGAACUCCCUCCUUCAGCGUACUCAGAUGCACUAGCAGAUAUUGCUAUGCCUUGUAUAACUCACCACUCUCCAAGUAUUGUGAAGGAGCAGUCAUAUUUAACAGAAAAGGUUUAUCCUAAAGGCAAACUUUUCUCAGCACAUGGAAUUGUAUUCCACAAUAAUGAAAAUAAUGAGAGCACUUCUGAACAUAGAGAAAAUUCCAAAACAAGUGGGUCAGCAUCUGACAAUGAGAAUAGCUUGAUAAAAUUAAAAGAAUUGUCUACAUCUGCAGAGGCAUCAGAAAAGAUCCCCACAAAACGAACUACUUCAGAAAUUAAUUUAUCGUACCAUAUGUUAGCCAAGUGCUCAGAAAUCUACAAACAUGUUAUAAAAAAUAGUAAAUUAGACACAAGUCUGCCUGUCAAUUUUUUACAAGUAAAUGGUAAUGAAAAACUUGUAUCAAAUAUGGAACAAAGUGUGUCAUGUGAUGCUGGCAUAGAAGGGUCUAAAGCACAUACAGUGUUUUGUGAAGAAUUAAAUGAUAAACAAAAGAAAACUUGUGUUGCUUUUGCCUCAGCAGAUAUCAACACAAAUAUUGUUCAAGAUGGCAGUAAGUCUUGUUUCGAUGACAGUUACAGUGAUAUUUUUCUUAACGAGACACAUUUUCAAAGAAAAGGUAGAAAGUUUUUGACAGAAUUCUAUCAGCAUCCAACUGUGUCCGAUGGAAUAUCUGACCCUAGACCAGUCAAUGAAACCUCUAAAUCACAAAAAGCAUUAUUUGAAAACACACACAUUGUGGACUCAGAGUCAUCUCUAGAUCUUGUAUCCAAAACCAACAGUAGAUCAAAGUGGAAAGUCCAGGAACCAUCAGAUGUCUUCAGUGUUUCAGCCAAGACAUCAGUCCAAGCAGACCAGGGCAGACUAACACAGAGAUUACCUCAAGGUAAAGGAAAAACAAAAACUCUGCAGGUCCAACUAACCCAGCCAGUUCUAGCCAAUGCUGAUACUUCUACACCAACCAAACAUUCACCUGAGACCAUCAAUAAAAUUAGACAAGAGAUGGGUCCACCUUUACCUCCCCUGCUCCCACCUCUGAUAGCUACUCCUCCAAGAACUGUGCGUCCUGUUUCUCCGAUAAUGGCUUCAUCUAGCCGGUCCUCUCUGCCAUCUCCUCUUGAUGGUCUUAUUUCCCCUCUAAGAGUAACUCCAGUUCCUCCACUAAUGUCUCCUUUGUCAGAUGCUCCAAAGUACAAAUCUCCUCCUAUAUUUUCCACUCCAUCUCCCUCAGAGACAACAGUUGGUCGAAGAAUCCUGUCCUCACCUUUGCAAUUUUGUGCUGCCACACCAAAGCAUGCACUUCCUGUGCCAGGAAGACUUCCUCCAUCUGCAGCUGGUAGUUCUGCUUUAAAUGUUCCUCAGGAGAACUCUGUGAAAAUCUUGGACGCUAUAUAUCCAGAGCUAUCUCCAAGAGCAAGAACACUCAACAUUCUCAAAGGUAACAUUCAGCCCAACAGGUGUGCUCCUUCAGAAUACAAGAAUGUACCAGGGCCAGUGAGUCAGUUCAGUGGGUUCAAAGCAAUUUCUUCUACAUCCACUGCUUUUGUUAAAACAGGAAGUAAUUCAGAAUCUCACAGUAAUAAAGAUCAAAAAGAUUCAGGGAGUCAGAGUCAUGUUGGAAAAAGGAUAUUGUCAGCCUCUAUGCCGAGAAGUGCAAAGAGGCUGAGGCUAGACAGUGAAUUGCCACAAUUGGAGACUAAGGAAGAUGUUGCAAUCAAAGCUGUAGGAGACUUUAAUAUUGAAGUGCUGAGUGCUGCAGGUAAAACUGUCUCACUCAACAAUUGUGAAAUUAGGCAAUUAGCAGCCAGCUGCAAUUCAGAAUUGCCUUCACCAGUAGAGAAUAUUAUUGAUCCUGUGACUUUGGCACUGAAGAAAAUUGCUGAAUCCUGUUUUGACCUGUUACCUGUUAUUCGGAGUCAUGUGUACGUGGGAAAUAUUUUGAAGGUCCCGGUAAUGAGAGAUGAAGAGAAAGAAGUUGUCUAUGAAUUUGGUAUCACAAACAAGCAUUUAGCAGAGCCACUGCUUCAUGCUGUUCUCAAUAAACUGAAGACUCAGAAGAUGUCUUUGAAUCACAAUUUCACUCAGGCUCUAUGUAGAGUAUACAUAGGAAUCUGUCGACAGUUGGGAGAUUUGGAAAGAGCCCGCCUCUUCUGCUACAGCUUACUUAAGGAAGACUUCCCAGAAUCUGCCAAAUUAACUUUGUUUAUCACAAAUGUGUGGGAUGAUAUAUUCUCCUUCCAAGGCGUGCUCAACAAAGCUAUGCAGUUAGUUGUCAGGAAACGUGCACGAGGAGAGGUGCUGAACUGUCUGCGUGCUUAUCUCAGUUGGGAAAAGUUCCAUCUCUGUGUGGGGGGCAUCAUAUUCCAAAAGUGGAAAUACACAAAGGCAACUUUGGAAGAAGAGGUCCUGAGUCUACCUUUGGAUCCAGGCAUUAUGGUCUCAAGUCUGCUUUUAGCAAUACAGUUGUGUCCAAAAAUGGAAUUCCAGUUGAGUGAGCGAUAUGGAGAAGAUCUGAGUGACAGCAUUUGGGAAUGUAUACUUGCUAUUGAUCUUCUCUGCUGUCACCUGAAAUGGAGUUGGACCCAUGACAAUAUCAUAAGUAAAGAGCUUUGGCCUGUCAUGGAUCAGUGGGUAAAGCAUAGGAAAGGACAUGAGACUGUUCCACCUGUUCCAGAUAUUAUUGUAGCAUCAACACUUAGGCUAAUUGGUCCCUGGUUGUCCAAGAGGAUGCAGAACAGGCAAAGCAGCAGCCACAAAAGUCUGCUUCUCCAGACAAAGCAGCUAAGAGACUGGACCUGCUGGGCAGGAAGGUCUGUUCUUCUGUGGGGUUGCAAUUCUGCAUCACCAACUAACAGGUUGUGCUAGCCAAAUAUGACUUGAACAACUGCAACAGGCUAGCAGAGUUGAAGGACAAGCUGCCACCGGAGUAUCAGCAGCAAUUCCAGGUGUUCCUAGAUGAAUGGGGACUGGUUGCCAAGGUGGGCCUUCAGGUAGCAGUGGAUGCGGCUGACAUAUCCUUCUGCUCUCUUGCAACCAGAGUCAUUACGCAAAGAGAUUUGUGGCUACAGUCAUCAGGCUCCCCAGGGAAAAUCUCCUAUUUGGAGAGAACAAUAUGUCCCAUAAUAAUAUGGACGAAGACCUCCACUUGCUGAAGGAUUCCAGAGUCACACUACGGUCACUUGGUGUAUAUAUCUUGGCCCCAGUAUGCAGGCAGCAGAAACAACCAUACUGCCCAUGUCCACAUAUGCCCUACCCAGCCUUAUACCAGCUUCAGCAGAAGCCCCCACAUCAGUGACACCAAUCACAGUGGGCUUGCUUCCCCACCUUUGCCACAGCCGCCUUCUCAGCCCGCUCCCAGCAACAGCAGACCAAAUCAGUAUUCACCUGCAGGUCGAGACCUGCCAGUCUCCAUCAGUGCCACCUGUGGCACCCCAUAUCAUCUUUGGGGACCAUCUUGCCCUUUUUGCCCACAAUUGGACAAGAUCACCACGGAUCCAGUUGGGUACUGGAGAUCAUCUACCAUGGAUACUCCAUCGAGUUCUUCUCACUCCCGCUGCACUGCCUCUUCCCCUGACCAGACUCCCCUGACCAGACUCCCCUGUGGACUCAUCCUAUCAACUGAUCCUCUAACAAGAAGCAGACAACCUGCUCUUUAAGAGGUGGGGGUCAAGAGAGUCUGUCCUGUCUCGUUACCAGGAGCGAGGCUUCCACUCACCUUACUUCCUCAUCCUGAAGAGGGGCAGAGGGCACUGCCCUAUUUUCAAUCUUCAGGUGUCGAACAUGUUUAUACAAAAGUCCAAAUUCCGUAUGGUCACGCUGGCAUCUAUUAUCACCUCACUACCCCAGAAAGCCUGAUUCACAGCUCUGGACAUGAAAGACACUUACAUCCACAUCAACAUUCACCCAGCCCAUCAUAAGUUCCUUCAUUUUCAGGUAGAGCUCCAACACUAUCAAUUUCAGGGCCUCUGAUUCAGCAUAGCGACAGCACCAUGAGUAUUCACAUAAGUCUUCGGCCCAGAUGCUCCACCUCAGCUACGUGGUAUUCCUUUACCUCGAUGACUGGCUUCUAGUGGCACUAUGAUGACAGGAAGCAAUCUCUGUGAUCCUCUAAGUAUCUCUGUCAAUGAGGAAAAAUCAGUGUUGAUGCCUACAAAGACUAUAUACUUCAUUAAGGUGCAACUCGACUCCAUCAUAGCGUGGGCUUUUCUCCCAACAGAUCGCUUUGCAGCACUGACAAUUCUCACCAUGGAUGUGUGUGUCAGACCACUCGCCACGGUCUGCAGUUCUCUCUCAGUGUUUGGACAUAUGGUAGCCUGCACCUACGUGACACUGCACACACAUCUUCAUUUGUGUUUUCUUCAAGUUUGGCUCCUCUCCAUCCACAGACCCAGCAGAGACCAUAGAGACUCCGAGGUCAUUGUACCCAGGAAUGUGCUGUCCUUCCUCACGUGGUGGUGGUCUGAUUCCUCCAAAAUCAUGAUUGGCACUGCCUUCGCCCCUCCCACACCACAGGCCACAAUCACAACAGAUGCCUCUCUUGUGGGCUGGGGGAGGGGAGCCCACUUACGCCACCACAGAGCUCAGGGAGUGUGGAUACCACAGGAAGCCAGGAUGCAUGUAAAUGUGCUAAAACUGCAGGCAGUCCAUUUGGCAUGCCAGGUUUUCCUCCUCCUCAUUCAGUCCUUCCACAUUCAACUGCUCUCCUGCAACAUUGUUGCAGUAGUAUACAUCAACAAGCAGGAUGGUGCCAGGUCUUCCUCCCUCUCCUCUGAGUCAGUCCGGCUCUGGAACUGGUGCAUCAAGAACCGUGUGGUGCUUUAAACUGCCUGUCUAUUGGCAUCCAAAAUUCCCUGGCCGACACUCAGCAGGACUCCCUGCCUCAAUCACAACUGGGAGCUCUGACAACACGCUCCUCUACCUCAACACGCUCCUCUUUGUGAAGUGGGGCACACACCUUCCCCUCCUCCCCCGCUACUGAUGGGACCAUUGCUACUCACAAGAACAGAAAGCUUGCCCCUCUAUUGCUUGAGAGGAGCACUGGGAGGGCUUUCCUCCUUCCCUGGACAGGCAACCUUCACUAUGCCUUUCUCCCAUUCCCUUCCUGCUGCAGGUGCUAUGCAAGAUUCAUUGAAACAGAGCCACCAUCAUACUCAUAGCCUCCUUCUGGCCCCAUCAGUUCUGGUUCACGGACCUCCUCAGAUUCUCCGCCCACACACGACUCCACCUGCACAUGUUCCUGAAUCUGCUAACACAGGAUUGGGGGAGGCUCCAUCAUCCCAAUCCAGGCCCUCUUCACCUCACAGCCUGGUAUUUGAAUGGGAGUCAAAGGUCGCUUAGGCCAAAUAGGUUUGAAGGAAGGAUUUUCUUCUGCUGUGAAAAACAUCAGUUCUAUUAUUGGAC